GAUAGGUUCACUUUUAUCUGCAAAUAGGAAAAUACUUCCCACGUCCAUUGCCUGUCACAGUGCAAAGUGUUAAUUGAAAGCUUCCAUUUUUGAAGCAGCUGGGAUAGGGCCCAAGGUUCUCAGGUAACAGGUUUCUCCACACUGGUCCCAGCACAGUUGUUGUCUUUACAACCCCAUUUUGCUCAAAUGGUUGUGCCUGGAUCUGUCAAUGGAAAGUUUUCAUCACCUCAGCACUGAGAUCGCCUUUUAUCCCUUUGCCAGACACGAAACAGCAACACAGCAUUAAGGGCUUUGUUGGAGUGAAUUUGUUAUCCUCUCACCUGCUUGGUGAGAUAAAAUAAGGGAUCAGAGCUGUGUGAGCUACUAUCACAAUGGAAAGACAUGCUCAUAAGCAAGAGUAUGUAUGAGUGCUUAUAUGCACAGAAAAUCGUGUGUAUUUGCCAAGUAAAUCUCACUGGAAAGUUGCUGAAGACAUACUGUGAAUAACAGUAAACUAGGGUGAGCCAUUCCUGCUCUCCCUUCUCAUCCAGGGUUGACUCCUGUUAUUUUUACAUCCUCUGUUUCUUUUGUUACAGUGUUAAUAAAGCCACUUUAACAAGAUCACUAGGUUUAAACAAAACAAAUAAAUAAAUGGAAAAUUGAAUUUUCAAUACCAGCUACCAGUACGCUUUUUUAAAGUAGACAGUGGUGUAAAUGGCACAAAAUCGGCAUGGAGAGACAGUCAAGCCACCCCAGACAGCAGGCACGACAAAAGACUUCCGCAUGAAACCAGCACACUGCUGCAGGAUAAACCUGCCCUUCCCACCCCAAAGACAUUCAGGCUGCUCUGAUGCUGAGCAUGCUGACCCACAGCCUUCUCAGCAGUGGCUGGGAUCCUGUUGGGGCACCCAGCAUACCCUUGCUGCUGUAUUUCAGCCACUUAUUCCUGCCAGAAGAGGAGAUUGAAUUCCAGCUGAUAACACUGGCAUUCAGCUCUGAAGACCGGACAAGAAUGUGCUCACUCUUCAGUCUUGGAAGGAGACUCUGCAAACAGUGCUAUAUCCAGCAAAGUUUUAUAGACUCAGGAUUAUCUCCAGCAUCUGUGCAGGAAACAUGAGAAAGGACAUUCUCUCUGGUUUAAGAUGUUGCUAACGAGGAAGCCAAGUUGGAAAUUGUAAAGAUAGCAUGAUAGCAACAGCUUGCCACAUCCAGAAGAAGAAAAAUCAAAACCUAUCUUUUGCGUAUGAGAGGAAAAUGCUGAUGUUUGUGUAAUGAAAUAUAAUAAUGAUAUCCAAUGUUUAUGUUUUUAAUAAUUUUUCUAUUGUGAUAUAUAGUAUACAUUAUAAGGUAUUUUAUAUGUCAUGUAUAUAAUACUAAUUAUAACAUUGGUCUGAUGGGCUGCUUAAGAAAAGAAUUUUGUACUCAUUUCAUUGCUCUGAUCUCUGAAAACAAAUGUGGUAUUCAGUAUUUCCAUUAAAAGAACCAAUUCCUAUAUAUUUACUGGACGCAUUUAAAUGAUUAGUGACACCUAUCUCCAGCUAGGUCCUUUCAUUUCAACUUGAGCUCUGUAGAAUAGAUCAAGACCAAUACAGAAACAAAGACAGGACCAGGAGCUGCCCCACCUCAUCAGCUCCUGCUGGUGAUAGGAAGGAUGAUGCUAACACAGCCUGUGGACUUACCUCCACAGCUAAAUUUAGCUCAGGACAUGGAAUUAAACCAAACAGUGCCCAGCGUAUGUUUCUGUGAUUCUUUUGCAGAUAAGCCAGGCUCAGGCAGGGAGAAACCUGGAUGAGUUGUGAGCAAAUUAGCGCAAAUUUAGCAGCUUUUGCUCAGUGAGCAGCAGAUUCAGUCUCUCAGUUCUAGAUCUGGCCUGCUAAAUCCAUCAUGGAACAUGAGAAAAGAACGUCCACAGAUGACUGAGUUUGUUACCAGUGGCUUGGCACUGGAGUUUGAGGGUAUGUCAGCAGGCCAGGGCUCAUAGCACCAGUCACCACCACAUUCAGAACCUUCUCGUAGAGGAGGUUAGGCUCCCCACAUCUAGGCCUGCCUCCCCAAUCAGCUCCUGGCCAGUAUGUGGUUGCUUGUGAUAUCGCCCAACUUUCUAACUCUUUCCCCACAGGAGAAGGUUCACACGUGGGCACUUGAGUGUGGGCAAGCAAAAAGCAGGACCAUGUGGUGGGAAACAGAGUGAAGAGGAGCAGAAAUAAAGCAGGAAGAAAGGGCA
RNAcentral lists this long non-coding RNA (2203 nucleotides) under Phasianus colchicus (ring-necked pheasant). RNAcentral's name for it is "lncRNA (ENSPCLG00000020465.1)". Lineage: Eukaryota; Metazoa; Chordata; Aves; Galliformes; Phasianidae. The record is from RNAcentral.